CAAUAGCGUAUAUUUAGGUUGCUGCAGUUAAAAAGCUCGUAGUUGGAUUUCGGGUGGGAAUGGCCGGUUCGCCGUUUCGGUGUGCACUUGCUACGCCCACCUUGCUGCCGGGGACGUGCUCUUGAGUUCGCGCUCGGGACACGGAGUCGGCGAGGUUACUUUGAGUAAAUUAGAGUGUUCAAAGCAGGCCUACGCUCUGAAUACAUUAGCAUGGAAUAACACGAUAGGACUCUGGCCUGUCUUGUUGGUCUGUAGGACCGGAGUAAUGAUUAAGAGGGACAGUCGGGGGCAUUCGUAUUUCAUUGUCAGAGGUGAAAUUCUUGGAUUUAUGAAAGACGAACUACUGCGAAAGCAUUUGCCAAGGAUGUUUUCAUUAA
Molecule: ribosomal RNA, 377 nt
Filed under: uncultured eukaryote
Lineage: Eukaryota
Description: partial 18S ribosomal RNA
Rfam family: Eukaryotic small subunit ribosomal RNA
Source: RNAcentral